AUUGAACGCUGGCGGCAGGCCUAACACAUGCAAGUCGAGCGGUAACAGGGGUAGCUUGCUACCCGCUGACGAGCGGCGGACGGGUGAGUAAUGCCUAGGAAUCUGCCUAAUAGUGGGGAGUAGCCGGACGAAAGUACCGGCUUAAGUAUCCGCAUACGUCCUACGGGAGAAAGUGGGGAGUCUUCGUACCUCACGCUAUUAGAUGAGCCUAGGUUGGAUUAGCUAGUUGGUGAGGUAAUGGCUCACCAAGGCGACGAUCCAUAGCUGGUCUGAGAGGAUGAUCAGCCACACCGGAACUGAGACACGGUCCGGACUCCUACGGGAGGCAGCAGUGGGGAAUAUUGGACAAUGGGCGAAGCCUGAUCCAGCCAUGCCGCGUGUGUGAAGAAGGCCUCGGGUUGUAAAGCACUUUAAGCAGAGAAGAAAAGCUGCCGGCUAAUAUCCGGUAGUGUUGACGGUACCUGCAGAAUAAGCACCGGCUAAUUCCGUGCCAGCAGCCGCGGUAAUACGGAAGGUGCAAGCGUUAAUCGGAUUUACUGGGCGUAAAGCGUGCGUAGGUGGUUGUGUAAGUCGGAUGUG
This 579-nucleotide ribosomal RNA is filed under the name uncultured bacterium. RNAcentral describes it as "bacterial SSU rRNA". It matches the Rfam family "Bacterial small subunit ribosomal RNA", at positions 28 to 596 of the family's 1533-position model. The record is from RNAcentral.